GGGGUAUUAGUUCAGUUGGAAGAAUGCUUGCUUCGCAAGCAAGAGGUCAGCGGUUCGACUCCGCUAUACUCCACCA
Molecule: transfer RNA, 76 nt
Filed under: Oscillospiraceae bacterium
Lineage: Bacteria; Bacillati; Bacillota; Clostridia; Eubacteriales; Oscillospiraceae
Description: tRNA-Ala
Rfam family: tRNA
About the family: Transfer RNA (tRNA) molecules are approximately 80 nucleotides in length. Their secondary structure includes four short double-helical elements and three loops (D, anti-codon, and T loops). Further hydrogen bonds mediate the characteristic L-shaped molecular structure. tRNAs have two regions of fundamental functional importance: the anti-codon, which is responsible for specific mRNA codon recognition, and the 3' end, to which the tRNAs corresponding amino acid is attached (by aminoacyl-tRNA synthetases). tRNAs cope with the degeneracy of the genetic code in two manners: having more than one tRNA (with a specific anti-codon) for a particular amino acid; and 'wobble' base-pairing, i.e. permitting non-standard base-pairing at the 3rd anti-codon position.
Source: RNAcentral